This 490-nucleotide ribosomal RNA is filed under the name [Candida] sp. RNAcentral's name for it is "Candida sp. (in: Saccharomycetales) partial large subunit ribosomal RNA". It matches the Rfam family "Eukaryotic large subunit ribosomal RNA", at positions 114 to 601 of the family's 3401-position model. Lineage: Eukaryota; Fungi; Ascomycota; Saccharomycetes; Saccharomycetales. The record is from RNAcentral.
UUUGAAAUCUGGCACUUUCAGUGUCCGAGUUGUAAUUUGAAGAAGGUAACUCUGGAGUUGGCCCUUGUCUAUGUUCCUUGGAACAGGACGUCACAGAGGGUGAGAAUCCCGUGCGAUGGGGUGUCCAAUUCUAUGUAGAGUGCUUUCGAAGAGUCGAGUUGUUUGGGAAUGCAGCUCUAAGUGGGUGGUAAAUUCCAUCUAAAGCUAAAUAUUGGCGAGAGACCGAUAGCGAACAAGUACAGUGAUGGAAAGAUGAAAAGAACUUUGAAAAGAGAGUGAAAAAGUACGUGAAAUUGUUGAAAGGGAAGGGCUUGAGAUCAGACUCGGUAUUUUGCGAUCCUAUCCUUCGUGGAGAGGUUUCACUUGCAGCUUACCGGGCCAGCAUCGGUUUGGAUGGUAGGAUAAUGACAUUGGAAUGUGGCUCUUCGGAGUGUUAUAGCCUUUGUUGAUACUGCCUAUCUAGACCGAGGACUGCGUCUUUGACUAGGAU